GUGGGGGCAAAGUUUCAGUGCAUUCCGUUGAUGUAGACGGCGUGAAAACGGAAACAAGUAUGCCGGCUCACUGUGCUGCAUACAAUUACACACUACGUCGUACGAUUGAGACAAGGAAACCUGGAAUGACUUUUCAUAGGUUUCCCAGAGACUAUGGGUUGAGGAGGAAUUGGAAGUUUGUCGGCUUAGACCUGUGUCAUUCCAUCAGUGUUAAACUUCCCGGCUCAUCUUGGAAGAGUAUGUGCCAGAAAGACCACGACCAAGCAGCCUUGAGAUCUUAGGCAGCGUCUCCCUCAGGUCCCUCUCUAUCUCCCCACACAUCCACCAACCACUGGAACACAUCUCCAAAGUUCUGCUGGGCCAGCUCAGCUUCCCCUCAGAAGAAGUGCUGCCACCUGCCAGAUGAAGGAGCCUUUUGAGAGGCAGCUGGCAUCGUGAUUGGACUGUACUUUGGUCUGUUCCAAUCCAGCUUCAGCUCCAGAGACGGCAGGCGGGACGAGUCAACGGAGGCCGGGUGGACGAAGGCAUGCAGCUGAGUACAAUCCAGAAAACAACAGAGGAGGAGUGCAGCGGCCCAGGGCCAGAACAACCAGAGUAGCAUCGUAUGUCUCUUAGAAAACAUCAUAGUAGAGCCUUUGGUAUGAAAAAACGCCAUCAUAUACAUCGUAUAUUGUACAAAUAAGAAGUCAAAGGAAAGAGACAUACAUUGUAGAAUUGUAGUAAUUGUGGGCUGAGUGAUUUACUGAGUAUCAGUAUUUUAUUUUUUACUGAUUUAUGGUAAUAAAUCAAUUUAAAAAUGGUGCUACUUUGGCUCUGAACCUUAAUCUACCUGUGGUCGCUCUGUCUUCUGGAGUGAUUUGAUUGGUUAUACGUCACGAAUAAAACUCCUUUAACAUCUGUAAACAAAACAAAAACAUAUCAACAAAGUUUUCUGUUAGAGUUUGUGUUCUUCUAAGUUUAACUCCAAGAUUUUAAAUACUUUCAUUUACUGCAAAUGAAUAUCUACUCCAAAUGUCUCACUAAUACUCACUAAUAAUCAUUAUCAGCCUUAAAAACCCACAAAACACCACUCUAUACUCGACCACACUUAGUACACUCCGGUUCCCCCUUCUAUAAAUCUGCUUGGAAUCUUCUACUUCCUGUUUGUCAAAGUGGCCUUCUACCUGGACAGGUUUUGUUGGAGCUCAUGCAACAAACAUUUUGGGUAACUG
This is a long non-coding RNA of Amphiprion ocellaris (clown anemonefish), 1211 nucleotides long. The record is from Ensembl. NCBI's taxonomy places the organism in Eukaryota, Metazoa, Chordata, Actinopteri, Pomacentridae.